UGGAUCAGCCUCCGUUAUGUUAUUCUUUGCACUUUCAGGGUCAGCAUCUUCAGUGUUAGGAUCACCAAGAGAUCCUUUAACAACAGCUCUUUGAGAUUCCUGUGCUCUGGAAGGACACACCGCACACUACUUCAGCAACUAGCCUAGCUUCAGAUUAUACAUUUUCUAUCAAGACAAUUUUUUGUGGGGACUUUGAUGCACAAAUAUGAAUAGAAAUGUCAGAAGAAAUAGCUGGCCAAGCAGAAAGUGCCUAUGGAGAGCAGAAGUUGAGGGUAGAUCUCCAAUCUUAAGGAGAACCUAAUUUCACUAUUGGGAUCAAGUAACAUCUCCAUCACAGAAGACUGUGUUAGCAGAGACAUUUGGAGUUGAGUUUGGAAUCUGGAGCAUCAAGUGCUCAGCACUGUCUACAGAUAAGGAGGACAGUUGCUCAAUCCAUCAUGAUUAAUAUGGAACAGUUUCUUGGGGCACAGGCGGCAGCAGUCAGACCGUGCAGAGCCCUGAAGGUCAGCCUCAGGAUUUCCACCCAGGAGGAAGGCAAGCAGGAAAGUGAUGUGAAAAGGUUUCCGUUUUAAAAGCUCACCACUGCCUCUAGUGUGGUCUAGGAACAGAGGAGACCCUCUUGAGGACUGUUUUGAAGAGGAGGCCAUUGGAGUGCUUUAGGUGAAAGAAGAUGGUGGUAGUAAACAGAGGGGGAUUUCAGAGAGAUUUAGGAGGCCAAAAAUCUUCAGCAACUGGUGAGUGGCUGGACAUGGGGAGAGGGAGAGGGAAGUAGAACAAAUAACUAACAAGCAACUGAGUCCAUAAUGGUGCCACCUGCUGAGAUCAAGGGCGCGGGUGAC
This 839-nucleotide long non-coding RNA is filed under the name Camelus dromedarius (Arabian camel). RNAcentral's name for it is "lncRNA (ENSCDRG00005001005.1)". The record is from RNAcentral. Lineage: Eukaryota; Metazoa; Chordata; Mammalia; Artiodactyla; Camelidae.